This 254-nucleotide ribosomal RNA is filed under the name uncultured bacterium. RNAcentral describes it as "partial 16S ribosomal RNA". It matches the Rfam family "Bacterial small subunit ribosomal RNA", at positions 524 to 776 of the family's 1533-position model. The record is from RNAcentral.
UACGGGGGGAGCAAGCGUUGUUCGGAUUUACUGGGCGUAAAGGGCGCGUAGGCGGCCAGUGCAAGUCAGUUGUGAAAUCUCCGAGCUUAACUCGGAAAGGUCAACUGAUACUGCUCGGCUAGAGUGCGGAAGGGGCAACUGGAAUUCUUGGUGUAGCGGUGAAAUGCGUAGAUAUCAAGAGGAACACCUGCGGCGAAGGCGGGUUGCUGGGCCGACACUGACGCUGAGGCGCGAAAGCGUGGGGAGCAAACAGG